This 72-nucleotide transfer RNA is filed under the name Bos taurus (domestic cattle). It matches the Rfam family "tRNA". From Rfam's summary of the family: Transfer RNA (tRNA) molecules are approximately 80 nucleotides in length. Their secondary structure includes four short double-helical elements and three loops (D, anti-codon, and T loops). Further hydrogen bonds mediate the characteristic L-shaped molecular structure. tRNAs have two regions of fundamental functional importance: the anti-codon, which is responsible for specific mRNA codon recognition, and the 3' end, to which the tRNAs corresponding amino acid is attached (by aminoacyl-tRNA synthetases). tRNAs cope with the degeneracy of the genetic code in two manners: having more than one tRNA (with a specific anti-codon) for a particular amino acid; and 'wobble' base-pairing, i.e. permitting non-standard base-pairing at the 3rd anti-codon position. The record is from Rfam by way of RNAcentral. Lineage: Eukaryota; Metazoa; Chordata; Mammalia; Artiodactyla; Bovidae. RNAcentral also lists the same sequence under 4 other names.
UCCCUGGUAUCUCAGCUGGUAAAGAAUCUGCCUGCAGUGCAGGAGACAUAGGUUCAAUCCCUGGGUUGGGAA